This is a long non-coding RNA of Protopterus annectens (West African lungfish), 511 nucleotides long. RefSeq lists it as uncharacterized. The transcript has 3 exons. The record is from RefSeq and is a predicted model, not a curated record. NCBI's taxonomy places the organism in Eukaryota, Metazoa, Chordata, Ceratodontiformes, Protopteridae.
GUGACCCAGAACCAAUACAAAAACAAACCAUCCAUCAUGUCUUAUCUUGCACUUGCUUUUGUUGUCCUGGUUGCCCUUGCAACAGUUAAUGGUGAUCCAGAAAAUGUUAAAGCAGCAGCUGAGGAUAGGAGAGACUGUUGGAGGAUCAAUGGUGAAUGCCGCAUCAUUUGCAAGCAUCGUGAGAAAAAUGCUGGAAGAAAUGGCUGCUACUUCUUCCAAAGGUGCUGUGUAAUUUGAACAGUUUAAAGGGUGAGAUCUGCUUAAGAAAAUGUUCUUCACCGAAUACAUAACUUCAUUCAUAGAACAGAGGAUCUACCAAACAGAAAUAACUCUGCUCUGCUUCCUUAACAGCUGCUUCCCCAUUAAGUUUUCUUACUUCUUGUUUUCUUUAUAACUGAGACUCACUGGUGAAGGAAAGAUUGAGCUGUAAACUCACCAAGUUAUUCUGCUACCUUGAUAAGUCAUUGUUUCUACUCAUAUGUGUUUCUUCAAUAAAGUUUGUUUUCUGCAA